AAGGUUCAGACCCCUUACCUCUUUGGAUUGAAGGAAGCUCUGAGCAAUCUUUGGCCUUUUCCUCUUCCUUCUCUUUCUCUUCAGCGUUUCUCCCCCCUUUCUCUGACUCUGAGGCAAAACACGUGAAACAACCUGAGUCCUCACUUUGGCCUCUUUUAUCCAAUUUCCACUUUUACCCUUCCACUCUUCAUAUUCCAUUUAUUUUAUUUAUUUAAUUAUUAUUAAAAUAAAUAACAUCUAUAGUAAUAAUAAAAAUAAUCCAAUAAUUCAA
This 271-nucleotide long non-coding RNA is filed under the name Lathyrus oleraceus (garden pea). RNAcentral's name for it is "Pisum sativum (pea) long non-coding RNA (PSAT_LNC003104)". Lineage: Eukaryota; Viridiplantae; Streptophyta; Magnoliopsida; Fabales; Fabaceae. The record is from RNAcentral.